This 465-nucleotide ribosomal RNA is filed under the name uncultured bacterium. RNAcentral describes it as "partial 16S ribosomal RNA". It matches the Rfam family "Bacterial small subunit ribosomal RNA", at positions 338 to 795 of the family's 1533-position model. The record is from RNAcentral.
CCUACGGGUGGCAGCAGUAGGGAAUCUUCCACAAUGGGCGAAAGCCUGAUGGAGCAACGCCGCGUGGGUGAAGAAGGUCUUCUGAUCGUAAAACCCUGUUGUUAGAGAAGAAAGUGCGGGAGAGUAACUGUUCCCGUUUCGACGGUACCUAACCAGAAAGCCACGGCUAACUACGUGCCAGCAGCCGCGGUAAUACGUAGGUGGCAAGCGUUAUCCGGAUUUAUUGGGCGUAAAGGGAACGCAGGCGGUCUGUUAAGUCUGAUGUGAAAUCCUUCGGCUUAACCGGGGAAGUGCAUUUGAUACUGGGAGGCUGGAGUGCAGAGGAGGAGGGUGGAACUCAAGGUGUAGCGGUGAAAUGCGUAGAUAUAUGAAAGAACACCAGUGGCGAAGGCGGCUCUCUGGGCUGUAUCUGACGCUGAGGUUCGAAAGCGUGGGUAGCAAACAGGAUUAGAUACCCUAGUAGUC